This 467-nucleotide ribosomal RNA is filed under the name uncultured bacterium. RNAcentral's name for it is "partial 16S ribosomal RNA". It matches the Rfam family "Bacterial small subunit ribosomal RNA", at positions 28 to 507 of the family's 1533-position model. The record is from RNAcentral.
GACGAACGCUGGCGGCGUGCUUAACACAUGCAAGUCACGGGGGCCCGCAAGGGUAACCGGCGAACGGGUGCGUAACACGUGAGCAAUCUGCCGUCCACUGGGGGAUAGCCGGCCCAACGGCCGGGUAAUACCGCAUACGCUUGCCGGGUGGCAUCACUUGGCAAGGAAACCUCCGGGGGUGGACGAGGCGCUCGCGGCCUAUCAGCUAGUUGGUGGGGUCACGGCCCACCAAGGCGAUGACGGGUAGCUGGUCUGAGAGGAUGGCCAGCCACAUUGGGACUGAGAUACGGCCCAGACUCCUACGGGAGGCAGCAGUGGGGAAUAAUGCGCAAUGGCCGCAAGGCUGACGCAGCGACGCCGCGUGGGGGAUGAAGCAUUUCGGGGUGUAAACCCCUGUUGCCCGGGACGAACCUCCCCUUUCGAGGGGACUGACGGUACCGGGUGAGGAAGCACCGGCUAACUCCGUG